GCCUACGGGGGGCAGCAGUAGGGAAUUUUCGUCAAUGGGCGCAAGCCUGAACGAGCAAUGCCGCGUGAACGAGGAAGGUCUUCGGAUCGUAAAGUUCUGUUGAAGGGGAAAAAGAGCGGAGAGAGGAAAUGGUCUCCGAUUGAUAUUACCCUUCGAGGAAGUCACGGCUAACUACGUGCCAGCAGCCGCGGUAAUACGUAGGUGGCGAGCGUUAUCCGGAAUGAUUGGGCGUAAAGGGUGCGUAGGCGGCCUGCUAAGUCUGGAGUGAAAGGUACCGGCUCAACCGGUACAUGCUCUGGAAACUG
RNAcentral lists this ribosomal RNA (305 nucleotides) under uncultured bacterium. RNAcentral describes it as "bacterial SSU rRNA". It matches the Rfam family "Bacterial small subunit ribosomal RNA", at positions 337 to 635 of the family's 1533-position model. The record is from RNAcentral.